UGAAUUCGAAAAGGCCAAAC
This 20-nucleotide microRNA is filed under the name Ciona intestinalis (vase tunicate). RNAcentral describes it as "cin-miR-4199-3p". The record is from miRBase by way of RNAcentral. Lineage: Eukaryota; Metazoa; Chordata; Ascidiacea; Phlebobranchia; Cionidae.